RNAcentral lists this ribosomal RNA (318 nucleotides) under uncultured Bacteroidota bacterium. Its description in RNAcentral is "bacterial SSU rRNA". It matches the Rfam family "Bacterial small subunit ribosomal RNA", at positions 28 to 351 of the family's 1533-position model. Lineage: Bacteria; Pseudomonadati; Bacteroidota. The record is from RNAcentral.
GAUGAACGCUAGCGGGAGGCUUAACACAUGCAAGUCGAGGGGUAUAGUAGCAAUACUAGAGACCGGCGGACGGGUGCGUAACGCGUAUGCAACUUGCCUUAUACAGGGGGAUAGCCCGUGGAAACGCGGAUUAAUACCCCAUAUGUCAUUUGGGUCGCAUGGUCUGGAUGAUAAAACUGAGGUGGUAUAAGAUGGGCAUGCGUCUGAUUAGCUUGUUGGUAAGGUAACGGCUUACCAAGGCGACGAUCAGUAGGGGUUCUGAGAGGAUAAUCCCCCACACUGGUACUGAGACACGGACCAGACUCCUACGGGUGGCAG